This 253-nucleotide ribosomal RNA is filed under the name uncultured bacterium. RNAcentral's name for it is "partial 16S ribosomal RNA". It matches the Rfam family "Bacterial small subunit ribosomal RNA", at positions 524 to 776 of the family's 1533-position model. The record is from RNAcentral.
UACGUAGGGUGCAAGCGUUAAUCGGAAUUACUGGGCGUAAAGCGUGCGCAGGCGGCUUUGCAAGACAGAUGUGAAAUCCCCGGGCUUAACCUGGGAACUGCAUUUGUGACUGCAUGGCUGGAGUGCGGCAGAGGGGGAUGGAAUUCCUGGUGUAGCGGUGAAAUGCGCAGAUAUCAGGAAGAACACCCGUGGCGAAGGCGGUUCUCUGGGACGGUACUGACGCUGAGACGCGAAAGCGUGGGGAGCGAACAGG